GUCUGGGGAAGUUAUUUCUUCUUCAUGUUUGAAGUUUUCUCAAGAGGGAUUUGCAGAGACAGGAUGCUAUGAAAUUACCUCUCCCAUGCCCUCCACAGUACUAAGACUGAGGUACCUGUCUACAUCAAAAGAUGAGUACUACAAUGCAGAUGACUUAGCCAGUUGGCUGACUAGGGAUGUUGGAUGCCAGGUCUCCUCAGAAAGAUCAAAGUUACAGGUGAAUGCCCAUGAUUUAAAUGGAAAUCUGAGGGAAUGAAGCAAGGACCUGUUGGAGCACCCAUGGGAAGAACCUGGGGCACAAAAGAGGAAAGCAGCAAGAGACUGACAGAGAUUGUCUCCCUAGAAACCUGGACCACGAAAAGGGUGGAGAGGAGAAAACUCUGUGCUAAAUAUUACUCCUGGAAAAGUGCAUUUGCUUCGGAGAAAUCUUUAUCAUGGGUCUCUAAGAGGAAGGAACAAUAGCAUCUUCUAUGUGCCGAGGUAGCGCAAUAAUGAACUCUGUUCAAGUGGAUCAAAAGCCAUCAAGGUCAAAAUUAGGCACAGGCUGUACAGGAAGCGUGAUUCUGGCAUCUGUUUGGUUUCUGGGAAGGCCUCAGGAAACUUAAAGUCAUGGAAGAAGGGGAAGGGAGAGCAGGCACGUCUUACAUGACCAAAGCAGGAAGAAGAGAGAGAAGUGUGGAGGUGCUAUACACUUUUAAACAGCCAGAUCUUGUGAGAACUCUGUCAGAAGAACAGCACUAGGGAAAUGGUGCUAAACCAUUCUUGGGGACUCCAUCCCUGUGAUACAAUCACCUCCCACCAGGCCCCACCUCCAACACUGAGAAUUACAACUCAACAUGAGAUUUGGAUGGGGACACAGAUCCAAACCAUAUCAAAUUUUCACACCUUUCAGUAAAGCUUUAUAUUUUUUAAGGAUAUUUAAGUACUUGGAAGUAGAAGUAGAGAGUAAGGGGAAUAUUGUACAGCCAUCACAGCCUUUGUCUACUAAAGAAGUCAGUUUCAUGUGACAAAUGUUCAUUUUAAUAUUCGCUUCUUCAGUCCAUCUGGGGGUGUUUCCUUAUUUCUAUAAGAUGCUGCUUUUCAAAAAAAUUACCGAAAGCAUUCUGGAAAUCCAAGAGUAAUUGUGUGAACUAUAAGCAUUAGAAAACACAGACAUAAGUUGAAAAUAUUUAUGAACCUAAAUAGAUGUAAAGCUAGUGACUCAUAUUUUAUAAUGUAUUCACAGAUGAUAUUUCUUAAAUAAAGUAGGCAUUUCUUUAAAAUAAAAACUCUAAUAAUAUAUGUUAUUAAGAAGAAAACUAGAAAAGGAAGAAAAAAAGUGAUGGUAUGUUUGGAAGAUGCUGAGGUGAGCUGGUGAUAAAAUUAUCUCCACUGAAAAAGGAAUACAAAGAGCAGACACUGAAUAAGCCAGACAAUGUUUGAGUUUUUUCUGAAACCACUGUGCAGUUUUGGACUUUGACCUGAUUUAAUUUUCACCUCUGUUCUUCCUCCCACUCCUUCUCUUCCUUCAUCUCAUCCUCCUCUGCCUUUUACCUCUUUUAAAAAUUGCAUUUUGCAAACAAAUACAUGUUUGCCAUCAAUGAAACUAUUUCAAGAGUUCUAUAGAGAUCAAAAUGAAGGGCUUCCUGCGUUGAUGGUUAAUUCUACCAUCUUCCCCAGGUGCAACAGCUGUUAGCAGUAUAGCCUUCAGUUACCAGUUUCAGGCAUUUACCUAUGCGUCUGAACAAAUGCAUUAAAAAAUAAUGAACACACAUGCAAACUGGUUUGUUUCCAUUUUACUUAGCUCUGUAAGGUGCCAUGUUUUACAUAUUCUGCAAAUUCUCCCCAUGUACAAUACACAUAAACCCAGUAUUAUUUUUAACAUCUCCAAUAUUUUGGUACACUUCAAUUUAUUUACCACUUGUUCCCAAUUCUUGGUGAUAUCAAUGUGUCAAGCUCUUUCAAAAGAACUUUGGUUUAUCAUCCGCCUUUCACCCUGACCAUUUAUAUGUUCAUUUUGCUUUGACAAGCAGGACUUGACUUCUUUCAGCUUCCUGACUCACUUGGAAUUGUAUCAACAGGUGACUGUUAUG
This 2072-nucleotide long non-coding RNA is filed under the name Homo sapiens (human). RNAcentral's name for it is "HSALNT0204381". The record is from RNAcentral. Lineage: Eukaryota; Metazoa; Chordata; Mammalia; Primates; Hominidae.